RNAcentral lists this ribosomal RNA (322 nucleotides) under uncultured Chloroflexota bacterium. Its description in RNAcentral is "bacterial SSU rRNA". It matches the Rfam family "Bacterial small subunit ribosomal RNA", at positions 28 to 351 of the family's 1533-position model. Lineage: Bacteria; Bacillati; Chloroflexota. The record is from RNAcentral.
GAUGAACGCUGGCGGCGUGCUUAACACAUGCAAGUCGAACGUGAGGGUGUAGCAAUAUGCCUGAAAGUGGCGAACGGGUGAGUAACACGUGGAUAACCUGCCCUGGAGUGGGGGAUAACCAUUGGAAACGGUGGCUAAUACCGCAUAGAGCUAUUGAUUUGGGAGAAUCGAUAGGGAAAGCUCCGGCGCUCUGGGAGGGGUCUGCGUCCGAUUAGCUAGUUGGUGAGGUAAAGGCUCACCAAGGCGACGAUCGGUAGCUGGUCUGAGAGGACGAUCAGCCACACGGGAACUGAGACACGGUCCCGACUCCUACGGGAGGCAG